RNAcentral lists this ribosomal RNA (385 nucleotides) under uncultured alveolate. Its description in RNAcentral is "bacterial SSU rRNA". It matches the Rfam family "Eukaryotic small subunit ribosomal RNA", at positions 378 to 795 of the family's 1831-position model. The record is from RNAcentral.
AGAUUCCGGAGAAGGAGCCUGAGAAACGGCUACUACAUCUAAGGAGGGCAGCAGGCGCGCAAAUUACCCAAUCCUGACACAGGGAGGUAGUGACAAGAAAUAGCAACGCAGGGCAUAUGCUUUGCGAUUGAAAUGAGUAGAACUUAAAGCUUUCUGCGAGUAUCAAUUGGAGGGCAAGUCUGGUGCCAGCAGCCGCGGUAAUUCCAGCUCCAAUAGCGUAUAUUAAAGUUGUUGCAGUUAAAACGCUCGUAGUUGGACUUCUGCCUGGUUUCUGUUCUCCGCCAGUGGUGUGCAGAGCAGAAUCUUGGCAUCCGUCUGUUGGAGCUUCUGCUCCUUCGGACUCUUUACUUUGAGAAAAUUAGAAUGUUUCAAGUAGGCUUACGCC